Long non-coding RNA from Dromaius novaehollandiae (emu), 1404 nucleotides. RefSeq lists it as uncharacterized. The record is from RefSeq and is a predicted model, not a curated record. The transcript is spliced from 2 exons. NCBI's taxonomy places the organism in Eukaryota, Metazoa, Chordata, Aves, Casuariiformes, Dromaiidae.
AGCGCCUCUUUUCCGGGCCGUCGGCGGCCUGCGCCACCCCCCGCGCGCCCGGCCCCGCCCUCAACGCCCGCUCUGCGGCUCCGGCGGGCAGCGCCGUGCCGCGCCUCCGAGGUGGGAGCCCCCAAAAUGGCUCCGGCGGGCUCUCGCUCCGCUCCGCUCCCCUCCCCGCCGCGCCGGGCCGGGCGUCUCCAGCGCGCUCCGGGGAGGCAGAAGAGGUGAUGAUGUGCCAGCAUUAGUUGUCAUUCUCUUUCUUGGAUCCUGCACCCCUAAAUACAGCAGCAGCUGUUCUGUGCUUUAUUUCAGAUGAAAGAAACUUCAGUGUGAACUGCUGUGGUAUCUCACAGCUCAAGUAUCAUCUUCCCGUUUUUGUUUCUUCCCUUAAUCUGAAAUGAGCAUCAUCCAGCCCGAAAAUUUGUUUUCUUCCUCUUUGGGAAUGGAAAGCGUAGCAUUGAGAACAACCCUUCCUUGCAGCGCGGAGCGGGCAGAGCCGCAGCGCUGCGCUCGCUGCAGGCGAUGCUCUGCUGCCGGGGCUGCGGCGGGCCGGGGCUGCGGCGGGCCAGGCGCGGGGCCCUGCGGGGCUGAACGGGUGCAGCGAAUCCUGCUGACUCACGCUGCCACAACCGACCUGCCCGAGCAGUUUCAGCGGAGUAUCAGAACAGGGGCACGAACAUCCGUCCAAAAGAAAGAAGGGGUGAAAUCAGGAAAGCCUUAAGGAAGAUGAAAGGGGUCACUGACCUAGGGAAUAGGCAGAGACCAUUUUACAUUCCUUUUGUUAUUUACAUUAACAGCGAAGUCACCCUAAACCAGGGUGUGUUUGAACGCAGGCAGGGAGUGGAACCGCCUACAAAGGGCUCUCACUUAGGCUUUUGGAAAAUGUAAAAUAAUGAUACUCCUCCAUUUAUGGUGCCUUGCAGGAGUAAAUAUGUUUUUCUCCUUCAUCUAAGCAUCUUAAAUUAUUUGCCACUGAUAGAUUGCCACUUUAUUUUUCAGAGCACUUUUUAUUUGAAUCAUAUUCCUACCUUUUUCCACAGUUCAGUAAUUACUGUAAAUAGAAUUAGUAAAUGCACUUUGAUAGCAUAGUUUCUGCAGAAAAAUGUUUCACUGACAUGUAAAAGUUUGAUGGAAGCAUAGUAACUUCAGAAAAAAAUGUAACUUAAAAAGGUCCAAAUAGAAGACUUCAUCACACACUAUCAAAAUUAAGUAAGAAUCCUGAAAUAAUUUGUUUUGACUUUCCUGUUUUAAAGUGCUUCAUUUUGUUAAUAUCACUGCUUCAUUUCAGCUAUCAUUUCAUCUGACUUAUGAUAAACAGUUCGUUAAAAUUCAGCAUUAGUAUAUUAAACUGAAAAUUUGUAUUUAUAUCAUAAUGGAACAUGAAUGUAUUCAAACAUGACAUUGUUGAAGCCA